RNAcentral lists this ribosomal RNA (440 nucleotides) under uncultured bacterium. RNAcentral's name for it is "partial 16S ribosomal RNA". It matches the Rfam family "Bacterial small subunit ribosomal RNA", at positions 338 to 795 of the family's 1533-position model. The record is from RNAcentral.
CCUACGGGUGGCAGCAGUGGGGAAUAUUGCACAAUGGGGGAAACCCUGAUGCAGCGACGCCGCGUGAGUGAAGAAGUAUUUCGGUAUGUAAAGCUCUAUCAGCAGGGAAGAAAAUGACGGUACCUGACUAAGAAGCCCCGGCUAACUACGUGCCAGCAGCCGAGGUAAUCCGGAAGGGCCAAGCGUUAUCCGGAUUUCCUGGGUGUAAAGGGAGCGUAGGCGGCAGGACAAGUCUGGAGUGAAAUGCCGGGGCUUAACCCCGGCACUGCUUUGGAAACUGUGCAGCUAGAGUGCAGGAGAGGUAAGUGGAAUUCCUAGUGUAGCGGUGAAAUGCGUAGAUAUUAGGAGGAACACCAGUGGCGAAGGCGGCUUACGGGACUGUAACUGACGUUGAGGCUCGAAAGCGUGGGGAGCAAACAGGAUUAGAUACCCGAGUAGUC